AGGUCAGUUGAGGGUACUCUGCAAGAAGUGUGUACAGUUAAUUAAAAGAAAAUCCUCUAGAGAGACUCUUCAUAAGCUCAAGGUUUCUAUGUUCAUCUCUUUCUGAAAGCUUUACUCAUUCAUGAUUCAGUAUUAUAGAUAUGUCCUGUGGACUUCUUUUUUAAAAGUUUUGCCUAACAAAACACCUGGAGGAGGGAACCUGUUUCAGAAUCACAUAACCUCAGCUUGAUAAGAAUCUCAAGAGAUCACACUGAGUGGCUUCCACUUAGAGAAGGUAACAAGACCACUUUACAGAGAAGACAACAAAGGUCCAAGAUAUUAUACAACUCGCUCAAGGCCACUACAUCAAGAUUAAGUUGGAUUUGCAAAGUGAGUUAGAUUUUGGAAAAAGCUAACCUUCAAUUGUUCUCCAGGGGAAUGAGUAAUUACUAUGAGGAGCUAGUAAUUUUUAGCUUGUCCUCAGGCCUACUGAAAUAUCUUUGCUCUUUCCCUGCAUCUGUAAGAGCAACUGUUGUUUUCAGUCAUUCAAGUAGAAAGUGUGCGUGUUCCAUGGAAAGCCCAAGGCUCUCAGGAACUGAAGCCCAAAGUGCUUAGUCAUCCAAGAUAUAUAUUACCUUACAGAGGAAGAAACUGGAACAUUUGUUCACACUGCAGAAGAGCCCCUUUCUCUGCUGCCUUUGCUGCCAUCAACAGUAAACACUAGAAGUUUAGGAGCUGAAACCCCAUUGAUUGGCAGACUGCUCUGUCAAGACUAUGGAAUCAAUGGUAGUUUCUCAACAUGAGCUUUGGAGAAGAAGGGAAGACAACUUAUCUGAGGUUCUCUAUAUUCCAGGAAGCCUGAACCUCUGGGAUUGGAUCCCCAGAGGUGGGCCGAUGACAGCUGAAGAAGACUGUAUUUGCUGAGGAGCAGCAUGCUGGUCGAGAGGAGCAGAGCUCCUGAGGGAGACCUAAUGGUUCCUCUCCUUCCUGCACGGAGAUAAAGACUUAUAAUAAGCGUGUAUGUUCACCAUCUGGCUCUGCGCAUGUGGUCCUUAUGGAGGGGAGAGCAGCACAAUCUGUAAAUGAUCAGGAGCCAUGGC
RNAcentral lists this long non-coding RNA (1079 nucleotides) under Pan troglodytes (chimpanzee). RNAcentral's name for it is "long non-coding RNA NONPTRT017088". The record is from RNAcentral. Lineage: Eukaryota; Metazoa; Chordata; Mammalia; Primates; Hominidae.